RNAcentral lists this ribosomal RNA (217 nucleotides) under uncultured bacterium. Its description in RNAcentral is "partial 16S ribosomal RNA". It matches the Rfam family "Bacterial small subunit ribosomal RNA", at positions 524 to 735 of the family's 1533-position model. The record is from RNAcentral.
UACAGAGGUCUCAAGCGUUGUUCGGAAUCACUGGGCGUAAAGGGUGCGUAGGUGGCGUGGUAAGUCAGAUGUGAAAGCCCGGAGCUCAACCUACGGAACGUAGCAUCCGACUACUGCCACUGCUAGAGAACUGAAGAGGAGUGUAGAAUUCUCGGUGUAGCAGUGAAAUGCGUAGAUAUCGAGAGGAAUACCAACGGCGAAGGCAGCACUCUGGGCA